This 1164-nucleotide small RNA is filed under the name Vigna angularis var. angularis. Its description in RNAcentral is "Non-protein coding transcript". The record is from RNAcentral. Lineage: Eukaryota; Viridiplantae; Streptophyta; Magnoliopsida; Fabales; Fabaceae.
UCUCAUUCAAGUCUUAGUUAGCCAAGUUCAUUCCAUUUAUAUAUCGGUAAGAACUGAAUCACAAGGUUGACUUUGGUUGAUCUGUUAAUAGAAAACGCAUGCAGCAUAACGAUUUUCACCAUAUCAUCAACCAGAGAGAAAAGCAACGCAAUGAAUUGAAUUAGCACCUUGAUUCUGUAAGCACAAGCAUCCAUGAUUAUGAAACAAGGAUCUGAAUUGAUUGAUGGACUGAAAGUGACAUAGAUUUACCUUGAGAGGGGGUUGAGGAAGAGAAAAACAAUUAAUCCAAAAUGUUUAACUGUGCCAUCUAUAUUCAGUUCUUGUAGAUCUGGAAGUUAAGAACUCCCAAUCAUAACCAGGCGAAUACAUACACAACAUAAUAUAUAUACAAUUUAGAAGUACUGAAAUAAAAAACCCAACAUAACUGCAUAUGCAAGUGAGAAAAUGAACAAAAAAACAGGUUUAAACAAUUAAAAUAAAAACUGUCCCCAACACAAGGUAGGAGAAAGCACCGAAACGCCUCACUGUCACUUGAAUCCCGAACACAUGCCACCAUCCUCUCUUGUUUCUUUUUUGCAAGAAUCAAGCCGAUUCAAAUACAAUCUUCAGAUUUAGCCAACACAAGAACAUCAAUUCAGCCAUCCAGAAAACAUAAACCUUUUCUAGGGUUGUAGGAAAGCAGCGGAUGAAGAUAGGAAGAGGAGGAGAUGAGAAAGCGAAUUAGGGUUUGUAUAUGCUUCCAUUCAACAGGUGAAGCAGCCACAUGAUCUGUUCUUACCAUUAAAGAAGGUAAACUCAGAUCAUGCUGGCAGCUUCAACUGCUGCAGGUGCACGAUAAGAGGGUCUAAAAAUAUAUAAUCCUCGGGGGCCUCCAUAGACUGUAGGAGCUUAUAGUCUUCGUCUAUACUUAUUCUGAGGGAGGCUAUGUGCAUGUAUGUAUAUAUAUACAGACAUCUUGUGUCGUUCUUCGUCGUCUCUCCAAGGUUGAGGAUUGCGUACAGAUAAGAGCGAUGGGAAGAUGGCAAACGUAUAGCUAGCAAAAGCAUAAUAAAAGUAUGUGGUUCCUUUUUAAUUUUUUGUCUCCCUCUUUUGUACGUUUUUUAUUAGGCUACAUUUUGGACCAUCUCCGGUUCUAAGUAGCUAGUUUUGCUGUUUCCAGUGUCA